UGGGAACCUGCCCUGUGGUACGGAACAACUCCGGGAAACUGGAGCUAAUACCGUAUGCGUCCUUUGGGACAAAGAUUGCAUCGCCAUGGGAUGGGCCCGCGUAGGAUUAGCUAGUUGGCGGGGUAACGGCCCACCAAGGCUUCGAUCCUUAGCUGGUCUGAGAGGAUGAUCAGCCACACUGGGACUGAGACACGGCCUAGACUCCUACGGGA
RNAcentral lists this ribosomal RNA (212 nucleotides) under uncultured bacterium. RNAcentral describes it as "partial 16S ribosomal RNA". It matches the Rfam family "Bacterial small subunit ribosomal RNA", at positions 118 to 346 of the family's 1533-position model. The record is from RNAcentral.